RNAcentral lists this ribosomal RNA (2898 nucleotides) under Escherichia coli. Its description in RNAcentral is "23S ribosomal RNA". It matches the Rfam family "Bacterial large subunit ribosomal RNA". The record is from RNAcentral. Lineage: Bacteria; Pseudomonadati; Pseudomonadota; Gammaproteobacteria; Enterobacterales; Enterobacteriaceae.
GGUUAAGCGACUAAGCGUACACGGUGGAUGCCACGGCAGUCAGAGGCGAUGAAGGACGUGCUAAUCUGCGAUAAGCGUCGGUAAGGUGAUAUGAACCGUUAUAACCGGCGAUUUCCGAAUGGGGAAACCCAGUGUGUUUCGACACACUAUCAUUAACUGAAUCCAUAGGUUAAUGAGGCGAACCGGGGAACUGAAACAUCUAAGUACCCCGAGGAAAAGAAAUCAACCGAGAUUCCCCAGUAGCGGCGAGCGAACGGGGAGCAGCCCAGAGCCUGAAUCAGUGUGUGUGUUAGUGGAAGCGUCUGGAAAGGCGUGCGAUACAGGGUGACAGCCCCGUACACAAAAAUGCACAUGCUGUGAGCUCGAUGAGUAGGGCGGGACACGUGGUAUCCUGUCUGAAUAUGGGGGACCAUCCUCCAAGGCUAAAUACUCCUGACUGACCGAUAGUGAACCAGUACCGUGAGGGAAAGGCGAAAAGAACCCCGGCGAGGGGAGUGAAAAAGAACCUGAAACCGUGUACGUACAAGCAGUGGGAGCACGCUUAGGCGUGUGACUGCGUACCUUUUGUAUAAUGGGUCAGCGACUUAUAUUCUGUAGCAAGGUUAACCGAAUAGGGGAGCCGAAGGGAAACCGAGUCUUAACUGGGCGUUAAGUUGCAGGGUAUAGACCCGAAACCCGGUGAUCUAGCCAUGGGCAGGUUGAAGGUUGGGUAACACUAACUGGAGGACCGAACCGACUAAUGUUGAAAAAUUAGCGGAUGACUUGUGGCUGGGGGUGAAAGGCCAAUCAAACCGGGAGAUAGCUGGUUCUCCCCGAAAGCUAUUUAGGUAGCGCCUCGUGAAUUCAUCUCCGGGGUAGAGCACUGUUUCGGCAAGGGGGUCAUCCCGACUUACCAACCCGAUGCAAACUGCGAAUACCGGAGAAUGUUAUCACGGGAGACACACGGCGGGUGCUAACGUCCGUCGUGAAGAGGGAAACAACCCAGACCGCCAGCUAAGGUCCCAAAGUCAUGGUUAAGUGGGAAACGAUGUGGGAAGGCCCAGACAGCCGGGAUGUUGGCUUAGAAGCAGCCAUCAUUUAAAGAAAGCGUAAUAGCUCACUGGUCGAGUCGGCCUGCGCGGAAGAUGUAACGGGGCUAAACCAUGCACCGAAGCUGCGGCAGCGACGCUGAUGCGUUGUUGGGUAGGGGAGCGUUCUGUAAGCCUGCGAAGGUGUGCUGUGAGGCAUGCUGGAGGUAUCAGAAGUGCGAAUGCUGACAUAAGUAACGAUAAAGCGGGUGAAAAGCCCGCUCGCCGGAAGACCAAGGGUUCCUGUCCAACGUUAAUCGGGGCAGGGUGAGUCGACCCCUAAGGCGAGGCCGAAAGGCGUAGUCGAUGGGAAACAGGUUAAUAUUCCUGUACUUGGUGUUACUGCGAAGGGGGACGGAGAAGGCUAUGUUGGCCGGGCGACGGUUGUCCCGGUUUAAGCGUGUAGGCUGGUUUUCCGGGCAAAUCCGGAAAAUCAAGGCUGAGGCGUGAUGACGAGGCACUACGGUGCUGAAGCAACAAAUGCCCUGCUUCCGGGAAAAGCCUCUAAGCAUCAGGUAACAUCAAAUCGUACCCCAAACCGACACAGGUGGUCAGGUAGAGAAUACCAAGGCGCUUGAGAGAACUCGGGUGAAGGAACUAGGCAAAAUGGUGCCGUAACUUCGGGAGAAGGCACGCUGAUAUGUAGGUGAAGCGACUUGCUCGUGGAGCUGAAAUCAGUCGAAGAUACCAGCUGGCUGCAACUGUUUAUUAAAAACACAGCACUGUGCAAACACGAAAGUGGACGUAUACGGUGUGACGCCUGCCCGGUGCCGGAAGGUUAAUUGAUGGGGUUAGCGCAAGCGAAGCUCUUGAUCGAAGCCCCGGUAAACGGCGGCCGUAACUAUAACGGUCCUAAGGUAGCGAAAUUCCUUGUCGGGUAAGUUCCGACCUGCACGAAUGGCGUAAUGAUGGCCGGGCUGUCUCCACCCGAGACUCAGUGAAAUUGAACUCGCUGUGAAGAUGCAGUGUACCCGCGGCAAGACGGAAAGACCCCGUGAACCUUUACUAUAGCUUGACACUGAACAUUGAGCCUUGAUGUGUAGGAUAGGUGGGAGGCUUUGAAGUGUGGACGCCAGUCUGCAUGGAGCCGACCUUGAAAUACCACCCUUUAAUGUUUGAUGUUCUAACGUGGACCCGUAAUCCGGGUUGCGGACAGUGUCUGGUGGGUAGUUUGACUGGGGCGGUCUCCUCCUAAAGAGUAACGGAGGAGCACGAAGGUUGGCUAAUCCUGGUCGGACAUCAGGAGGUUAGUGCAAUGGCAUAAGCCAGCUUGACUGCGAGCGUGACGGCGCGAGCAGGUGCGAAAGCAGGUCAUAGUGAUCCGGUGGUUCUGAAUGGAAGGGCCAUCGCUCAACGGAUAAAAGGUACUCCGGGGAUAACAGGCUGAUACCGCCCAAGAGUUCAUAUCGACGGCGGUGUUUGGCACCUCGAUGUCGGCUCAUCACAUCCUGGGGCUGAAGUAGGUCCCAAGGGUAUGGCUGUUCGCCAUUUAAAGUGGUACGCGAGCUGGGUUUAGAACGUCGUGAGACAGUUCGGUCCCUAUCUGCCGUGGGCGCUGGAGAACUGAGGGGGCUGCUCCUAGUACGAGAGGACCGGAGUGGACGCAUCACUGGUGUUCGGGUUGUCAUGCCAAUGGCACUGCCCGGUAGCUAAAUGCGGAAGAGAUAAGUGCUGAAAGCAUCUAAGCACGAAACUUGCCCCGAGAUGAGUUCUCCCUGACUCCUUGAGAGUCCUGAAGGAACGUUGAAGACGACGACGUUGAUAGGCCGGGUGUGUAAGCGCAGCGAUGCGUUGAGCUAACCGGUACUAAUGAACCGUGAGGCUUAACCUU